GACGAACGCUGGCGGCGUGCUUAACACAUGCAAGUCGAACGGGCUUCUGGGGUUCUGGCUUUUUUGGUUGGGGCUCUGGGGGUUAGUGGCGAACGGGUGAGUAACACGUGAGUAACCUGCCCUUCACUUUUGGAUAACCGCUUGUAAUGGUGGCUAAUACGGGCGGUUUCUGGGUCUGUCGCAUGGCGGGUUCGGGAAAGAUGGCACUGUUUGGCGGUUUUGGUGGGGGAUGGGCUCGCGGCCUAUCAGCUUGUUGGUGGGGUGGUGGCCUGCCAAGGCUUUGACGGGUAGGCGGUCUGAGAGGGUGGGCCGUCACUGUGAGAGAGAGACGCGGCCGAGUCCUCUGGGAGGGGCCGGAGUGGAAUAUUUUGCAAUAUGGGCGGAAGCGUGAUAGAGAGACGGCGCGUGAGGGGAAGGGGCCUGGGGGUUGUGAACCUCUUUCGGCAGAGAAAAAGGACUUGCCCGUGUGGUGGGGUUGACGGUGGCUGGGAAAAAUGAAGCGCCGGCUAACUACGUG
This 517-nucleotide ribosomal RNA is filed under the name uncultured bacterium. Its description in RNAcentral is "partial 16S ribosomal RNA". It matches the Rfam family "Bacterial small subunit ribosomal RNA", at positions 28 to 507 of the family's 1533-position model. The record is from RNAcentral.